This 269-nucleotide long non-coding RNA is filed under the name Rattus norvegicus (Norway rat). Its description in RNAcentral is "long non-coding RNA NONRATT004906". The record is from RNAcentral. Lineage: Eukaryota; Metazoa; Chordata; Mammalia; Rodentia; Muridae.
CCGUGGCAGUACCGCUUCCCGCCCUUCUUUACGUUACAGCCGAACGUGGACACCCGGCAGAAGCAGCUGGCCGCCUGGUGCUCUCUGGUUCUGUCCUUCUGCCGCCUGCACAAACAGUCCAGCAUGACGGUGAUGGAAGCCCAGGAGAGCCCGCUCUUCAACAACGUCAAGCUACAGCGGAACCUCGAGUGGUUGGAUAAGAAUAAGUCUAGCUUCCUGAUCAUGUGGCGGAGGCCAGAAGAAUGGGGGAAACUCAUUUAUCAAUGGGU